Molecule: unclassified non-coding RNA, 234 nt
Filed under: fungal sp.
Lineage: Eukaryota; Fungi
Description: partial internal transcribed spacer region
Rfam family: Eukaryotic small subunit ribosomal RNA (bases 1-46)
Source: RNAcentral
AAGUCGUAACAAGGUUUCCGUAGGUGAACCUGCGGAAGGAUCAUUACCAAUUUUGUCUUUUUACAAGACUUGUAUAUUGUGCAAUCAUUAGUUUUAUGAUUUCCAUUUACUUGGAUUUCAUAUACUCACCUUUUAAUAUUUGAUUAUUAUAAACUUUUCAAUGGAUUUAAAAAACCCAUAGAAAACAAAUCAUAAAAAAUAUACAACUUUUAACAACGGAUCUCUUGGCUCUCC